CACGUCGAAUACGAAAACCCGGAAAUAUUUUCUCCGUUGCCGUUUUUUAUACUAUGACGCAAAAUCCAUGGACGCUCGUCUGCUGCUGAAUUUAUGUUUUACAGUUUAACAAGGAUUUGUAUAGUGUCACUGUACAAAUCCUUGAGUUUAAAGAAUGGAAAGAUAUAUUAUAGUCAGAUAGAUAAUACAAAGAACUCUGGUUUUUCAAAACCGAUGGGUCAAAAAGUUAUUAGUAUAUACAGAUAAAUUGAAAUGGGUUGCUUGUCGAUUAACUGGAAGAAACCGGGGAACGAAAGAAAGUUGUGUUUCUCUUAACGGAUUACGUACCCAAUAUUUUGUACUUGGAAAGCGCAACGAAAGCUGACUCAAAAUCAUGCAUGAUGAUGCUGUUUGGGCCCCCUGGUUAUACAUAGGAAGUGGACUCCUCGAGAAGAUGAAAGGUCUGCUUUACAUCAUUUUCAAUGAAAGUACAAGUACUUUGAGAAGUAGGAGAAGCUAAGCAACAGAACAGAAUUCAUUUGGGUCAUUGAUGUCUAGAUUAUAUAGUGGAUUCAUAGAUUGUCAUAUUGAUUUAUGUGCAUAUGAGCACAGAGGAGCAGUAGUCAAUGAAUAAUUUUGUGAUGAGAGCUUGUAACCAAAUGAAAGGAAAGUACAGUAUUGACAAUGAUUGAUAUCACUGGUGAACAUGUAUGUCAUGUAGGUGUGAAUGUCCUGCAAAAAAGAACUGAUAUCAAAUUACCAUUCACAGUGAACAUGGUGAAGAAUAACCAAUACCAUGAAUACAGGACAUAGAAGACUACCUCACAAAUAUGGGAAUUUUACAAAAAAUACAACAUUUAAAUUUACAAAGAAGACAUUUAUUUUGACAUUCAUGGACUUUGAAAGUAAAGAAAUUAGAAUGUGAAUAAAAAUCCUUGGAAAUAAAAUUUUGAACUUUGAA
Molecule: long non-coding RNA, 940 nt
Organism: Mytilus californianus (California mussel)
Lineage: Eukaryota; Metazoa; Mollusca; Bivalvia; Mytilida; Mytilidae
Exons: 5
Source: RefSeq, a predicted model, not a curated record